GUCGUUGUAGAAGGCUUCCUUCGACUUUGGGCAGCCACAGCGCAGCUACAAAGCCGCAAAACAGCAGCUGCACAGCGGCGCAGCAACGAGGUAGCAGCAGCCUCGACAACCUGCAAGGAAAAACACACAAAGAGAGGAACAAGGGGCGUCGAUCUUCUCGGCUCAGGUACAGCUCUCUUCCUCUCGAUCACGCACACACUAAGCCACGAAGAAUCACAAAGGGGACGUUGCUCUCGCCGGCACCACAAUCGGCCAACAAGCCUUACACCUUCACCGGUAGCACCUCCACACAAAGGAAGAACACUAAGCAAUUUUCGUCUCUCUACAGCCACAGACCAAGGGCUCUUUAAAUAGCCUACCAUAGAAGGAUCUAGAGAAGGAAGGUGAAGAGGUUCAUGGGGGAGAAGAAGCGCAGGGGUCACAGCCCCAAAAGGGCACUAAUUUUCGACUGGAAGGGGGGGAAAUGGGAGGGCUGCCAAGGAUAGGGCAUGGGCUUGUUGGGCCAAAAUUGGGCCAACUAACAACAUCUCCACCUUUGGCCCAAUCACGGUAUUGUGUGCAUCAAAGAGGAAGCUGUACCAUAAUCAUCAUCGCCGAGCCCCCUGUUAAAUCACAAAGAAAUAACAGGGAAACACAAGACCACAAAGGUCAACGGGUAAACUAACCAAGUCAAUUCCUGCAAAACACAAACAAGAGAAAGACAACCACCAAGCACGAAGCACACUAACACAAAGUUAGUCUAGCACAAAGGGCCACAAAGAGCUAGCACAGAUCACAAAGUACACAUGAUCACGAAGAUAACAUGCGACACAAACGGUCAUCACAAAGUAAAACUCACAAAGCCACAUAGACACAAAGCUACUAAUCAAUCACAAAGACACUAAGCCACAAAGACUCACAUAGUCAUUAAGGCACUAACCAACGAAGUCUCACAAAGCCACAAAGCCUAAACAAUCACAAAGAACAACACUAAGGCAUUAAGAAAGAGCUCCACCUUAGAACACAUCACUAUUGGUUUCAUUACCAAUUACAUUAGCAUGCUCUACAUCUUGUUUUUUCUUAGGGUGAGGACAAUCCUUAAUAUAGUGACCAGUUUCACCACAGUUAUAGCACUUCCUAGGCUUAUAUCUAUGAUUAGACUUAUCAUUAAAUCUCUUUUCACCCCUAACAUGCAUGACUUUGUCCGGUUCUUGAACACAAAUAUUAGAAUUUAAAUCUAAUUCCUUAUUCUUUAAAGCACUCACAACAGUGUCAAGCGUCACAUUAUCUCUACCAUACUUAAUAGCAGAUUUAACAUCACUGUAAGAGUCAGGAAUAGCAUUUAAAAGAGCAUACGGAGCAUACUCAUCAAUAUGUUUAUCACCCGUCAGUUUUAUAUCUUGAACUAACUUAGUGAAUUCAUCAACAUUUUCAUCAAUUUUCUUAUUCAAAUCAAGUUUGAAACGGAAAAACCUUUCAAUCAAAAAUAUCUUAGACGGCAACGAGGUUCCAGUGUACAACUCCUCUAACUUAGACCAUAGUUCUUUAGCAGAAGUCAUUCUCCCUACUUUUCUAAGAACACACUCAGACAAGUUGAGAACAAUAGCAGACAAGGCAAGACGAUUCAAUUGAGUUUUCUUUUUCUCAUCAACAUCUUCAUCAUACGAAUCAUCAAUUACUUGAUAAACAUUUUGUUGAAUUAAAAUACAUUCCAUUUUCUGCUGCCAAAAACCGAAGUCCGUUUUACCAUUAAAAGGAGCUAAACCAUAAUUUGCCAAAGAAGACAUCGCAACACGAAGCAAAUAAUCACAAAGACUCACAAAGAUUGACAACCACAGAGUUUACAGCGGAAGUAAAAAAUAAGAGACCAAAAACACUAUUCACGAAAAUACUAUUCACGUGAAUAGAAACAGUUUACCAGAGCGGGAUCCUAAGGUCAGGACCCCGACUUACCAAUGCGACGACGAGGUCAACCGUGGCUCUGAUACCACUGUUGAGUAUAGACCCUCGUCGUCGUUGUAGAAGGCUUCCUUCGACUUUGGGCAGCCACAGCGCAGUUACAAAGCCGCAAAACAGCAGCUGCACAGCGGCGCAGCAACGAGGUAGCAGCAGCCUCGACAACCUGCAAGGAAAAACACACAAAGAGAGGAACAAGGGGCGUCGAUCUUCUCGGCUCAGGUACAGCUCUCUUCCUCUCGAUCACGCACACACUAAGCCACGAAGAAUCACAAAGGGGACGUUGCUCUCGCCGGCACCACAAUCGGCCAACAAGCCUUACACCUUCACCGGUAGCACCUCCACACAAAGGAAGAACACUAAGCAAUUUUCGUCUUUUCUACAGCCACAGACCAAGGGCUCUUUAAAUAGCCUACCAUAGAAGGAUCUAGAGAAGGAAGGUGAAGAGGUUCAUGGGGGAGAAGAAGCGCAGGGGUCACAGCCCCAAAAGGGCACUAAUUUUCAACUGGAAGGGGGGAAAUGGGAGGGCUGCCAAAAUAAGGAGGAUAGGGCAUGGGCUUGUUGGGCCAAAAUUGGGCCAACUAACAACA
RNAcentral lists this long non-coding RNA (2525 nucleotides) under Salvia miltiorrhiza (redroot sage). Its description in RNAcentral is "long non-coding RNA (SMIL_LNC007812)". Lineage: Eukaryota; Viridiplantae; Streptophyta; Magnoliopsida; Lamiales; Lamiaceae. The record is from RNAcentral.